UAAAACAAUCCUAAUUAAAUACUAUGGAUAUUUAAUGAUUCUUACGCAUCUUAAUUGAAUACCCGGGAGUUUGAUUGUUAAAUAUCCAUAUAAAUCCUAAUUCAAUACACCCAUGUUAGUUUGCUCUGUCUGGAAUUAGGUAUAAGUUUUCUCUCUUUAAUCACAAUGGAGGACGUUAUUGAUGGAGUAACUAACCUCAACAUCAACGAUUCACACAAGAAGAAUCGAAUUGAAGUAUCUAAUACUAAAAAACCCCUCUUCUUCUAUGUAAAUCUUUCCAAGGUAGGAUUUUAUCCAGUUUGCAUUGGAUGAUUAAUAUUUUUGAAUUGUUGUUAACUGAACUCUUAAACUAUCAUGGAAAACAAAGUCAUGCUUGGAUGUCAGCGAGGUUGAGGAUUUUAAACAAAGUGAUUUGGAGAAGCUGGGUGCUUCAUAUGUAGUUCAGUUUGCCUCAGAUCCAUCUAGGUUGAUGGGAUACUGUUCUUAUAGGGAACUUGGUAGGUCUCUCGCUAAAGUUUGCCUUGGAAAUAGUUUACUCGAUGCUUCAUUCCUUGAUGGAGUCUGCGAGAUCAAUCGUCUCUUUUAAAAAGGUUAUUUGUGGUAUCAGGCUUUUCAUGAGCUUCUGUAGCUAAUCUUCUUACAGCCACUCAGUAACUUAUUUAACUGUCUUCACUUCUAGAGUGAGUGAAUUUCUUAUGGUUGAGGAAAAGAAGGUUCUAUAAGUUACUGGGCGAUUGCAAGGACAUUGGAUGUGAUCAACUAAAACUACUUGCCAAAGAAAUGGUGAAACAGCUUGAUAGAACCUAGAAUUAAGACUGUUUGUGCAAUCAAAAGGUAUUGCUGUGAUAAUUAUCAUGGAUAAAUUAUACAAUGACAACGGUUGGUGAGAAUUUCAGUUGCUCAAUCACUUUUUGUCUUAGUAGAGUUUCUUAUCAAUUUCUUCCUUCAUAUCUUAUAAAAGCUUUGAUUUGAUUCAUGCACAGUCGGUUUCCAUGUUUUCUACGAACAAUUAAGUAAUGUACAUGAUAUAUAUGCUAUAACAGGUUGGCAGAAGUAUGUACUUUUUAUAAUCUAGAUGUAGAAAACAGGGUCAGGCAAUAGCUUGGAUCAGAAUAUGGAUUUCAAUAGUAUUAUCCUCAUUUCAAUAGUGUUACUGUUAGUUUAGUAGGAUUUUGUCUUUGUUUUUCGGUUUAUUUUGUAGGUAACAAUAGCUAUGUAUCAAUUAUAAACCCAUAGAAAAUCAAAACUUGCAUGAACUUGGUAUUUUCUCCUGUUCGGAAAAAAUUGUCCCAAAUAAUGGACACCAGUGGACCAAUAGGAACCAAGUAACCUAAUUUUUACAAUUAGAUAAUAGUCAGAGUUGUAUCCGUGGAAGACCUAAAUGGAUUGGAGUUCACGCUUUCAAAUAUGUUACCGUGCACAUCAUCGAGCAAAGACAACUUUUCGUAAAUGCAUAUCAUAGAAGUCCAAUGCAUUUUUUUAUAUAAUUUGUCUGCAUUAUCGACUUUAUUAAGCAGAAGCUCCCUUACUUUUCUGAUGUCUAGAUAUUGUGCCAAUGGGACCUCUAAUGUCAGAUAUCGCAUAAUUUCGAAAUACUCAAAUAUUUAUGUGGUAAUCACACUUUUACUUUCUUUAUCUCUUUUUAGGUGAUAUUUUUUACAUCUCAUAAUGAAGUUUCCAGUGAAGUUUUCCCUCAUAAUGAUGUUUGAGGCUAAUGUGCACCCAUUGCCUGACACUCGGUAUUAAGUAUCAGUAUUAUGUAAACUUCAGCAAUCAGUUUGUGGGAAACUCAUAAGGAUUAUGAUCGUCUUCAUUAGAGAUAAUUCCUGUUUGUUUUAUCUAAUCUGGCAUUAUUUGUAUCUUUUUCUUUGCUUUUCUGUCUAAUCUGUGUUUUGGUGUUAAUCUAUAGAAAUGAUAUUUGAAGCUGUUAUACUUCUGAUGGGUAAAAAAUUGAAAGGAUGUGUGUGGGUUGGGAAGGUUCAGUGGAACUAAACUUUAUUUUUUUAUUUUUUUGCAAUUCUUAUGUUACAAAGUUAUUAAGGAGACGUGCUUAAAGUUGAUUUGUCGUUCUUCGAUAUUUGUGUUUAAUUUCCACAUCUCUAUUCAAAUAUCUUCUCAUCUCAAUCCUAAGUUACUCACAUGAAUACCUUUUUUUAGGUAUGCAUUUAUGAUUCAAAGAGAACUUACAAUGAGAUUGGUAGCCCAGCCAGUGGGGUACCAAGUUGGUCUGAUUGUGAGCGUUGAAGAUAGAAGCCAUUGUUGGUGUCCCAGAUACAUUCUGGAGGUAACUCACUUGAAUUAGAUUCUUACGAAGUGUAACAGUUACAUAAACAUGCAAUGCAUGCUGAUUGAUGCAUGAACUGUAGCUCAUCAAGUGACCGAUGCAAUGUACAAUAAGAUUGGUUGAGAACAGAUAACUCCCUAGCUGAUGGUUGUGUAGUAACUGCAGCUGAAACUAAUGGAGGUAAUAGUAAUACAUAUGAUCUUUACGCACAAAAUUGAUCAAUCAUGCAUAUCCCCAUGAGCUCUUAGUUACUAAUCUCUAGCCUCAUGAGCUCUUAGUUUUUAAUCUCUAGAAUAGUACUCUACUCAGUAUAUAUAAAAUGUGCACAAACCCACAACCAGAUACGAAGAGUUCACUGCGAGUUGUAUCAUUUUCGUCCCAUUUUUGGAAUAUAGUGAAAGAAUGAUUAAUUGUUGCUUGAUAGAAGUUAGAUAGGCCAGUUUCAACUUACUGAACUUCAUGUGUUCCUCAAGUACAAUAGAUGGCUAGAUAUAUUAAAAAAUUAUAAGAAAACGUAGAAGUAUGAGUUCAUAUAUCUGAAUAUUUUUUGGUAUUCCCAUCAGCUGUCACUAUUACUUGAAAACUUGGUAGGAACUAAUUUCGUUAUGUUGGUUGAAGUAACAGAGUACGAAAAUCAAACUUGCAUGUUUUUGAUGAAACGUAAUUUAUUUAUGCUCAGCCAUAAAGGUGCCAUUUAUGUUUUGGUAGAUUCGCAGAAGCAGCAGUGCUGUUCUACUUUUACCUUUAGAUUUGUGAUUUUGACAUGUUUAAUUUCUUUUAGAACAAAGUUUCAUGGUUCAAACUGGUUCAUUAUAAAUGAAUUGUGUCUGUGGCACAAUGGUAGUGCGUCUGACAUCAAGUUAGAAGGUUGUGUGUUCGAUCCACACCAGAUUCAGUCUUUUAUUAGUAACCGUUAUGCUAUUUGCAUGUCAAUUGCGUACUACAACUAUAGCGAAUAGUGUCGGCAUGCACGUCUUAAGUGCCAGUCUUGAUACAAUUGAAGUAUAUUAAUCUGUAUUUCCAUUUUGAAGGCUUUAUUUGUUGUGGUUCUGUGAACUUACCCUUUCGUGUGCCUGAAAUUUGUGGUAUUCAUAUACUCUGUGAGCAGAGUUUGCUAAUGAAUUUACAUAUUUGAAACCGUUUCAGUGUUUGAGAUUUCUUUAGUAUUCGGUUUUGUACUAGGUGUUAUUCCUUUAAGAAUGGAAUCUUAUAAUCUGUAACAUUUACCAAUUCAACACGGACAUUUCUAAUUAGGGUGUUAUCCCUUUUAGCAUUACUUAGAACUUUAACGAGCCUGCUGUAACCAUUUGAGGAGUCUGCUCUUAUGAAUAGUGUAACCAUGUGCGAUGGAGCUGUAAUUUCAAUGGUGGAGCUGGAGCUUUCUCUUAUAAUAUAUUCUUGGGAAAGAAAUCAACGCCGAUUAAGCCAUCAAACCUUAAAAAAGGGCCGCGGGGAACUGGAAGAUGUUAUGUUUAAACUUUUUGAGAGGCAGCCAAGUUAAAAACUGAAGGAGUUGGUCCAAGAGACUGAUCAGCCUAAUGUGAUGACAAUUCAUUUCUGAAAUUCCUUUAUGGAUUGUAAUUACCAACUCCCCAAACACAUCCUUACUUACCUCCCAAACUUAGGUGAAGAAAAGAAAUGGAUUAAUGAGAGGUGCAGAUGAUGACACUUUGGAUGGGGAGGAGAGUAAGGAGGUGUUUGGGGAGUUGAAUAUAAUCUCCGUUAAUUUUAAAUUUACUCUCUUUAAAA
Papaver somniferum (opium poppy) is the source of this 4033-nucleotide long non-coding RNA. RefSeq lists it as uncharacterized. The record is from RefSeq and is a predicted model, not a curated record. The transcript has 5 exons. Lineage: Eukaryota; Viridiplantae; Streptophyta; Magnoliopsida; Ranunculales; Papaveraceae.